GACGAACGCUGGCGGCAUGCCUAAUACAUGCAAGUCGAGCGAACAGAUGAAGUGCUUGCACUUCUGACGUUAGCGGCGAACGGGUGAGUAACGCGUAAGGAAUCUACCUAUAAGCGGGGGAUAACAUUCGGAAACGGGUGCUAAUACCGCAUAAUAUCUUCUUCCGCAUGGAAGAAGAUUGAAAGACGGCUCUGCUGUCACUUAUAGAUGACCUUGCGGUGCAUUAGUUAGUUGGUGGGGUAACGGCCUACCAAGACGAUGAUGCAUAGCCGACCUGAGAGGGUGAUCGGCCACAGUGGGACUGAGACACGGCCCAAACUCCUACGGGAGGCAGCAGUAGGGAAUCUUCCGCAAUGGGCGAAAGCCUGACGGAGCAAUGCCGCGUGAGUGAAGAAGGCCUUCGGGUCGUAAAACUCUGUUAUAAGAGAAGAACAAAUUGUAGAGUAACUGCUACAGUCUUGACGGUAUCUUAUCAGAAAGCCACGGCUAACUACGUGCCAGCCGCCGCCGUAA
RNAcentral lists this ribosomal RNA (513 nucleotides) under uncultured bacterium. RNAcentral describes it as "partial 16S ribosomal RNA". It matches the Rfam family "Bacterial small subunit ribosomal RNA", at positions 28 to 523 of the family's 1533-position model. The record is from RNAcentral.